This 328-nucleotide unclassified non-coding RNA is filed under the name soil metagenome. RNAcentral's name for it is "partial contains 5.8S ribosomal RNA, internal transcribed spacer 2, and large subunit ribosomal RNA". The stretch from base 1 to 120 matches the Rfam family "5.8S ribosomal RNA", at positions 35 to 154 of the family's 154-position model. The record is from RNAcentral.
GAUGAAGAACGUAGCGAAAUGCGAUAAGUAAUGUGAAUUGCAGAAUUCAGUGAAUCAUCGAAUCUUUGAACGCACAUUGCGCCCUCUGGUAUUCCGGGGGGCAUGCCUGUUCGAGCGUCAUUAUAACCACUCAAGCUCUCGCUUGGUAUUGGGGCUCGCGGUUCCGCGGCCCCUAAAAUCAGUGGCGGUGCCUGUCGGCUCUACGCGUAGUAAUACUCCUCGCGAUUGAGUCCGGUAGGUCUACUUGCCAGCAACCCCCAAUUUUUACAGGUUGACCUCGGAUCAGGUAGGGAUACCCGCUGAACUUAAGCAUAUCAAUAGCGGAGGA